GAUGAACGCUGGCGGCGUGCCUAAUACAUGCAAGUCGAGCGAACAGACGAGGAGCUUGCUCCUCUGACGUUAGCGGCGGACGGGUGAGUAACACGUGGAUAACCUACCUAUAAGACUGGGAUAACUUCGGGAAACCGGAGCUAAUACCGGAUAAUAUAUUGAACCGCAUGGUUCAAUAGUGAAAGACGGUUUUGCUGUCACUUAUAGAUGGAUCCGCGCCGCAUUAGCUAGUUGGUAAGGUAACGGCUUACCAAGGCAACGAUGCGUAGCCGACCUGAGAGGGUGAUCGGCCACACUGGAACUGAGACACGGUCCAGACUCCUACGGGAGGCAGCAGUAGGGAAUCUUCCGCAAAGGGCGAAAGCCUGACGGAGCAACGCCGCGUGAGUGAUGAAGGUCUUCGGAUCGUAAAACUCUGUUAUUAGGGAAGAACAAAUGUGUAAGUAACUAUGCACGUCUUGACGGUACCUAAUCAGAAAGCCACGGUUAACUACGUG
This 497-nucleotide ribosomal RNA is filed under the name uncultured bacterium. Its description in RNAcentral is "partial 16S ribosomal RNA". It matches the Rfam family "Bacterial small subunit ribosomal RNA", at positions 28 to 507 of the family's 1533-position model. The record is from RNAcentral.